GAACGGUGUAGCUAUACACAGUGGCGCACGGGUGCGUAACACGUAUGCAACCUACCUUACAUUGGAGGAUAGCCUUUCGAAAGGGAGAUUAAUACCGCAUAAGACAGUAACUAGGCAUCUAGUAGCUGUUAAAGAUUUAUCGAUGUAAGCUGGGCAUGCGUCCAAUUAGUUAGUUGGCGAGGUAAUGGCUCACCAAGACGAUGAUUGGUAGGGGAACUGAGAGGUCAAUCCCCCACACUGGCACUGAGAUACGGGCCAGACUCCUACGGGAGGCAGCAGUAAGGAAUAUUGGGCAAUGGGCGCAAGCCUGACCCAGCCAUGCCGCGUGCAGGAAGAAGGCGUUACGCGUUGUAAACUGCUUUUAUACAGGAAGAAACGACCCUUGCGAGGGGCAUUGACGGUACUGUAUGAAUAAGCACCGGCUAACUCCGUGCCAGCAGCCGCGGUAAUACGGAGGGUGCAAGCGUUGUCCGGAUUUAUUGGGUUUAAAGGGUGCGCAGGUGGUUUAUUAAGUCAGUGGUGAAAGACGGUCGCUCAACGAUUGCAGUGCCAUUGAUACUGGUAGACUUGAGUAAAGUAGAGGUGGGCGGAAUUGAUAGUGUAGCGGUGAAAUGCAUAGAUAUUAUCAAGAACUCCAAUUGCGUAGGCAGCUCACUUGGCUUUUACUGACACUCAUGCACGAAAGUGUGGGUAUCAAACAGGAUUAGAUACCCUGGUAGUCCACACUGUAAACGAUGAUAACUAGGUGUCGGCUUUUCGGAGUCGGUGCCACAGCGAAAGCGUUAAGUUAUCCACCUGGGGAGUACGCCGGCAACGGUG
This 819-nucleotide ribosomal RNA is filed under the name uncultured bacterium. RNAcentral describes it as "bacterial SSU rRNA". It matches the Rfam family "Bacterial small subunit ribosomal RNA", at positions 64 to 896 of the family's 1533-position model. The record is from RNAcentral.